AUCUCAGUAGCUCAGCGGUAGAGCGGUCGGCUGUGAACUGGAAAAAAAAGGUUCGAUUCCUGCUUGAGAUU
This 71-nucleotide transfer RNA is filed under the name Amborella trichopoda. Its description in RNAcentral is "tRNA-His". It matches the Rfam family "tRNA". Rfam says of the family: Transfer RNA (tRNA) molecules are approximately 80 nucleotides in length. Their secondary structure includes four short double-helical elements and three loops (D, anti-codon, and T loops). The record is from RNAcentral. Lineage: Eukaryota; Viridiplantae; Streptophyta; Magnoliopsida; Amborellales; Amborellaceae.